UUAAUUAAUUAUUAUCAGCGCGGCCUAUCAGCUUGUUGGUGAGGUAGUGGCUCACCAAGGCGACGACGGGUAGCCGGCCUGAGAGGGCGACCGGCCACACUGGGACUGAGACACGGCCCAGACUCCUACGGGAGGCAGCAGUGGGGAAUCUUGCACAAUGGGCGAAAGCCUGAUGCAGCAACGCCGCGUGCGGGAGGAAGGCCUUCGGGUUGUAAACCUCUUUCAGCAGGGACGAAGCGAAAGUGACUGUACCUGCAGAGGAAGCACCGGCUAACUACGUGCCAGCAGCCGCGGUAAUACGUAGGGUGCAAGCGUUGUCCGGAAUUAUUGGGCGUAAAGGGCUCGUAGGCGGUUCGGUAAGUCAGAUGUGAAAACUUGGGGCUCAACCCUGAGACGCCAUCUGAUACUGCUGUGACUUGAGUUCGGUAGAGGAGUGUGGAAUUCCUGGUGUAGCGGUGAAAUGCGCAGAUAUCAGGAGGAACACCUAUGGCGAAGGCAGCACUCUGGGCCGGAACUGACGCUGAGGAGCGAAAGCGUGGGGAGCGAACAGGAUUAGAUACCCUGGUAGUCCACGCCGUAAACGUUGGGCACUAGGUGUGGGUCUCAACCAACGAGAUCCGUGCCGUCGCUAACGCAUUAAGUGCCCCGCCUGGGGAGUACG
RNAcentral lists this ribosomal RNA (661 nucleotides) under uncultured actinomycete. RNAcentral's name for it is "bacterial SSU rRNA". It matches the Rfam family "Bacterial small subunit ribosomal RNA", at positions 214 to 884 of the family's 1533-position model. The record is from RNAcentral. Lineage: Bacteria; Bacillati; Actinomycetota; Actinomycetes; Actinomycetales.